RNAcentral lists this long non-coding RNA (434 nucleotides) under Oryctolagus cuniculus (rabbit). Its description in RNAcentral is "lncRNA (ENSOCUG00000033934.1)". The record is from RNAcentral. Lineage: Eukaryota; Metazoa; Chordata; Mammalia; Lagomorpha; Leporidae.
GAUUUCUUAUUUAGAAAUCUGACCGAAAGUUAGGUGCUGUAAGAGCUGCAUUUGUCAAAGGAAGUCUUGCUGUGUACCCUGCCACAGGAGAACAGAGAUUAAAUGUCCAGAUGAAACCAUGGGAGAAGAUGUGGUUCUUCAGUGACUCAUCAGGUCCACUGAGGAGAGAACAGUUUUCUAGUGAGACGUGCAGGUGUGUGUUGUGAGCCCCAUCAGUAACUACCAUCAGUAAUGCUUUCAUGGCUCCUGAGCACAUAUGUUUGAGUGAAUUUCCUUGGAGAGAUUAAUGAAGGUGAAUGGUUCACUCAGAUUCCAGAGCCAGAUAUACAAUACAGGCAAGCUGUCAUCUGGGCAUACGUUGCAUCUGGACCUUGAAGCAAAAGAAAAUAUGUGUUAUGGGGCCAGUGCUGUGGCGUAGCAGGUAAAGCCACUGC